UCCCUAACAUGAGAAAGAAAGUAGCCACCCAAGUCCAGGAAGCGCAGAGUCCAAUACAGGAUAAACCCAAGGAGAAACACGCCGAGACACAUAGUAAUCAAAUUGGCAAAAAUUAAAGACAAAGAAAAAUUAUUGAAAGCAGCAAGAGAAAAACGGCAAAUAACAUACAAGGGAACUCCCAUAAGGUUAACAGCUGAUUUCUCAGCAGAAACUCUACAAGCCAGAAGGGAGUGGCACAGUAUAUUUAAAGUGACGAAAGGGAAAAACCUACAACCAAGAUUACUCUACCCAGCAAGGAUCUCAUUCAGAUUUGAUGGAGAAAUCAAAAGCUUUACAGACAAGCAAAAGCUAAGAGAAUUCAGCACCAACCAAACCAGCUCUACAACAAAUGCUAAAGGAACUUCUCUAAGUGGGAAACACAAGAGAAGAAAAGGACCUACAAAAACAGACCCAUAACAAUUACGAAAAUGGUAAUAGAAACAUACAUAUCAAUAAUUACCUUAAACCUGACUGGAAUAAAUGCUCCAACCAAAAGACACAGGCUUGCUGAAUGGAUACGAAAACAAGACCCAUAUAUAUCCUGUCUAAAAGAGACCCACUUCAGACCUAGGGACACAUACAGACUGAAAGUGAGGGGAUGGAAAAAGAUACUCCAUGCAAAUGGAAAUCAAAAGAAAGCUGGAGUAGCAAUACUCAUAUCAGAUAAAACAGACUUUAAAAUAAAGAAUGUUACAAGAGACAAGGAAGGACACUACCUUGGAUGAUCAAGGGAUCAAUCCAAGAAGAAGACAUAACAAUUAUAAAUAUAUAUGCACCCAACACAUAGGAGCACCUCAAUACAUAAGGCAACUGCUAACAGCUAUAAAAGAGGAAAUCGACAGUAACACAAUAAUAGUGGGGGACUUUAACACCUCACUUACACCAAUGGACAGAUCAUCCAGACAGAAAAUUAAUAAGGAAACACAAGCUUUAAAUGACAAAAUAGACCAGAUAGAUUUAAAUGAUAUUUAUGGGACAUUCUAUCCAAAAACAGCAGAUUACACUUUCUUCUCAAGUGCACAAGGAACAUUCUCCAGGAUAGAUCACAUCUUGGGUCACAAAUCAAGCCUCCGUAAAUUUAAGAAAAUUGAAAUCAUAUCAAGCAUCUUUUCCGACCACAAUGCUAUGAGAUUAGAAAUCAACUACAGGGAAAAAAAUGUAAAAAACACAAACACAUGGAGGCUAAACAAUACGUUACUAAAUAACCAAGAGGUCACUGAAGAAAUCAAAGAGGAAAUCAAAAAAUACCUAGAGACAAAUGACAAUGAAAACACAAUGAUCCAAAACCUAUGGGAUGCAGCAAAAGCAGUUCUAAGAGGGAAGUUUAUAGCAAUACAAGCCUACCUCAAGAAACAAGAAAAAUCUCAAAUAAACAAUCUAAACUUACACCUAAAGGAGCUAGAGAAAGAAGAACAAACAAAACCCAAA
This is a long non-coding RNA of Orcinus orca (killer whale), 1467 nucleotides long. RefSeq lists it as uncharacterized. NCBI's taxonomy places the organism in Eukaryota, Metazoa, Chordata, Mammalia, Artiodactyla, Delphinidae. The record is from RefSeq and is a predicted model, not a curated record. The transcript is spliced from 2 exons.